GUUGCUCAUUCUACAGUAGAAUCUUAUAACUUUACAAACAGUGUUGUCACACAUAUUUUACCUGGACAAUAAUGAUCAGUGAAUUAUGAGUUUUCAAAUGAUAUCUCACAAGGCAUACUUCGUACAAAUUUAUCAUAGUUUUGUAAAA
Dermochelys coriacea (leatherback sea turtle) is the source of this 148-nucleotide long non-coding RNA. RefSeq lists it as uncharacterized. The transcript is spliced from 3 exons. NCBI's taxonomy places the organism in Eukaryota, Metazoa, Chordata, Testudines, Dermochelyidae. The record is from RefSeq and is a predicted model, not a curated record.